RNAcentral lists this ribosomal RNA (253 nucleotides) under uncultured bacterium. RNAcentral's name for it is "partial 16S ribosomal RNA". It matches the Rfam family "Bacterial small subunit ribosomal RNA", at positions 524 to 776 of the family's 1533-position model. The record is from RNAcentral.
UACGUAGGUGGCAAGCGUUGUCCGGAUUUACUGGGCGUAAAGAGCGCGCAGGCGGUUAUUCAAGUCGAAUGUGAAAGCCCCGGGCUUAACCUGGGAAUGGCAUUUGGGACUGCAAGGCUGGAGUACGGCAGAGGGAGGUGGAAUUCCACGUGUAGCAGUGAAAUGCGUAGAGAUGUGGAGGAACACCGAUGGCGAAGGCAGGUCUCUGGGCCACUACUGACGCUGAGAAGCGAAAGCAUGGGGAGCGAACAGG